AACGAACGCUGGCGGUGCGCCUAACACAUGCAAGUCGUACGGGGUGCACGGAGCUGAUCGUUUCGGCGUGAAGCACCGUGUUACUUAGUGGCGAACGGGUGAGUAACACAUAGGUAACCAACCCUUAGGUCUGGGAUACUCCCGAGAAAUCGGGCACAAUACCGGAUAUAAUCCCGAAGUGCAAUUCUUCAGGAUGAAAGCUUCGAGCAAUCGUGGCGCCUUUGGAUGGGCCUGUGUCCUAUCAGCUAGUUGGUGAGGUAACGGCUCACCAAGGCUAAGACGGGUAGCCGGACUGAGAGGUCGAUCGGCCACACUGGAACUGAGACACGGUCCAGACUCCUACGGGAGGCAGCAGUGAGGAAUUUUGCGCAAUGGGCGAAAGCCUGACGCAGCGACACCGCGUGGGGGAAGAAGGCCCUCGGGUUGUAAAGCCCUUUCGUGAGGGAAAAAGUCCCGAGCAAUCGGGAUGAUGGUACCUCAGGAAGAAGCCACGGCUAACUCUGUG
Molecule: ribosomal RNA, 505 nt
Filed under: uncultured bacterium
Lineage: Bacteria
Description: bacterial SSU rRNA
Rfam family: Bacterial small subunit ribosomal RNA
Source: RNAcentral